Ochotona curzoniae (black-lipped pika) is the source of this 1273-nucleotide long non-coding RNA. RefSeq lists it as uncharacterized. NCBI's taxonomy places the organism in Eukaryota, Metazoa, Chordata, Mammalia, Lagomorpha, Ochotonidae. The record is from RefSeq and is a predicted model, not a curated record. The transcript has 2 exons.
GCCAGAGCUGAGAACUGAGUUCUGGUCUUCCACAUGGAUGACAAGGACCCAGCCACUUGAGCAUCACCUGCCAUAUCCCAGGAGUUGAGAAAGGAGAUGGAACUUACUCAGAUUCUCUUGAUAGAGGAGUGUUUAAAAUAGUGUCCUAACUGCUUUGAGGAGUGCCUGCCCCCCAGACUUAGUUUUGGCCCUGAAGGAAGUGGUGUCAGCUCUUCUACAGCCCCCUAGCUUCCAGGCUCAGCACUGCAGUGGGGUAUCUGUGUUGAUGCUCACCUGGAUACUGCCUUCAUGUCCCAAAUGUUGUCUUCCCUUUGAUAGAAUUGCUUUAAGGCAGAAUUCUGUCUGCUUUGUUUCAUAGCAAACAUUCAGGUUUGAAUGAAGCUAUGUUUAAAAUGAUCUUGUUGGGCCCGGUGCAGUAGCCUAGUGGCUAAAGUCCUCCCCUUGCAUGCACCAGGAUCCCAUGUGGGUACCAAUCAUGAUUCUGAAUCCUGAAGAGAUUAAAUAGUAAUACCCAGGAUAAUACCUGGUGGGUGAUUGACCUACCAAUGAAUUCCAUCCCAAGCUCUGCAUCCCUGGAGCCAAGCCGUGCAAUCCUGAAUGAGUACCUGAGGGAGGAGUGGCUUUUGUUACAUUGUGUACCAGCUGGAGGAAAAAAUAUCCAGUUUGUGGAAAACAGUGUAUUAUGUAGAUGACUAAAAUGUGCCUUUUUGUGUUUAAACCAUGAUAAACUUUGAUAUCACUUUCUGUUGAUGUACCAUUUUGCAUCAUGAAAGCUUUUUAUUUUAUUAUUUUUGAGAUUGAUUUGAAAGGCAGAGAAGGAGGUAUUCCGUCUUCUAGUAUACUCCCCAGAUGCCUGCAGCAGCAAGGACAGGCCCGACCGCAGCAAGGAGCGCAGAACUCAAUCCCGGUCUCUCACAUAGGUGGCAGUGACGCAGGUACUUGUGUCUUCAGCUCUCCAGGUGUGCCUUAGCAGGAGGCUGGCCUUGGAAGCAGAGCCAGGUUUGAACACAGACACGCUGAUAUGGGAUGGGAGCAUCUCAAAUACUGUUGUCAUGAAAUGCCUACCCCAGCGAAAAAGGUUCUUAAAAGGAUGCCAAGGAAACUGAUGAAUGGAUACUCAGGGAAUCUUGGAUGUUGGAAGCUACUGACUUUGUUCUUGAUGAUUUAGGUAUCUGCUUCUGUUGCUUAGGCUAAGGUUAUGCAAUAUUACAUUAUGUGAAUGCUCCUUGUAGUCUAGCCAUAUGGAAGAUUCUGUGCUGGUCCUGGAUUAAAA